GACGAACGCUGGCGGCGUGCCUAACACAUGCAAGUCGAACGGAGUCGGCCCCGCAAGGGACUGACUUAGUGGCGAACGGGUGAGUAACGCGUGAGCAACCUGCCUUUCAGUGGGGGACAACAGUUGUAAACGACUGCUCAUACCGCAUAAUGCAUUUUGACCGCAUGAUCGAGAUGCCAAAGAUUUAUUGCUGAAAGAUGGGCUCGCGUCUGAUUAGAUAGUUGGUGAGGUAACGGCCCACCAAGUCGACGAUCAGUAGCCGGACUGAGAGGUUGAACGGCCACAUGGGGACUGAGAUACGGCCCAGACUCCUACGGGAGGCAGCAGUGGGGAAUAUUGGGCAAUGGGGGAAACCCUGACCCAGCAACGCCGCGUGAAGGAAGAAGGCUUUCGGGUUGUAAACUUCUUUUACCAGGGACGAAGAAAGUGACGGUACCUGGAGAAAAAGCCACGGCUAACUACGUG
This 465-nucleotide ribosomal RNA is filed under the name uncultured bacterium. RNAcentral's name for it is "partial 16S ribosomal RNA". It matches the Rfam family "Bacterial small subunit ribosomal RNA", at positions 28 to 507 of the family's 1533-position model. The record is from RNAcentral.